GACGUUCGAGCCAGGACUCAUGGCCGAACCGGACACUUUGAGAGAACUAAGACUGCAGCGCAGUCUGUAGCCCUGGUUACAGAAACGGCUGCAGUGAAACCAAAGGCAGCCCUGUCGUACGCGGGGGCUGCCGCAAGAGGGAGUCUACCAAGUAGACCAAAGGUAGACUCCAACAAGGGACUGGUAAGAAGACCUUGCUGCAUCAAGGCAACCCUUGUAGGAAAGGCUCCCUUCUCAAUGGAGAAAGUAUGGGAUUUAUUAAAUGUGCAGGAGAUGGUGAAAAAGCAGCAAGUUUCUUUAUCAGAAUGGCCCACUUACAAAUGUAAAAUAUUAUGCGAAGCAGGUAAAUAUUGUUUUUUAGGGCUAGAACAAAAACAAAACAGAAUUAUUGAUUGUUAAAAUAGGACUCAUUUUCAGGCACUUAAAGCGCUGUGCCAAGAGGGCAUACACAUCGAAAGAUGUAACAACUUCCGAAUCGGAAAUUGAACCUUUGCCACGGCUGCAACGAGAAGAUGCUGUAUGUUUGUUAUCCCCAGAAUCCGAUAAAAGUAUAAGGUUUGUAACAUGGGCAUUUAACAUGGGUAUGCAGGGUAGGCUUGCAUGCCCUGAAAUGGGUUAUGAUAUACCCUUUUUUACUAAUUUUGGUACACAUAUUAACAAGUCAGUUGGUGAUAUUGGACCAACUAAAAGUAAUUAUAAAAUGGAAUAUGGUAAAAAGAUCGCCCUGGUUUCCCGAAAGGUAGGUGGUUAAUGCCUAUAUGGGGUUUGUAUUUUGUUUUCUUAACGCUUUAAUUAAAAAUAAUAUAAUAAAUCCAUCAAUUUUGUUUGCAGAUCUAUUGAAUCACAAAAUGAAUUUGCUGCUCCACUGAUCAUACCAUUAAAGAGAAAAAGAGCAACCAGCCUACUCUAUCUUCUUCUCCUGGAUCACCAAGCAAUACCACAACAGAUAAUCUUUCGAGAAGAAACUUAACUAUAUCCCAAAAUAUUCAGAGGGAUGUGGUCAGAAAUACCACUGAUCUUGUCAAGAUGAGAGCUGAUGUGGCACAACUCAGGACUGGUCAGGACCAAAGACCAGCUCAGGGCUUCUGUAGCCCAACUCACGAUCAACAUUUGCCAUAUAAGACGAUUGUUGGUCCAGCAUGUAGAGGAAUUCAGGGCGGCAGUGAAAGUUCCUGCACAAUUUGCACCGGUGGAAACUGACACUGAACUCAACGAAAUGACGAAGAACUUUAAGAGUUUUUAACAAGUAGCUCGCCAAGUAAACCGAAGAGGAACCGUCCGAGCAUUCAUCAGACUUUUUAUGAAGAAAUCGCUCGAUCUACAAUAUUCCUGGUCAGGAUUGGGCACUGGGCGAAAACCAACAAAAAAAGCUUCAAGGAUCACAAGCUGUUUACCAUUUUACAAGGUAAACUAUGACUGUUUUGUUGAUUUACAGUAUAUAAACCAUAUUGUUGGUGCAUGUGAUUGUGGCAAGAAACAAAUAUUUUAUAAGCUGUUAUACUUUUAUCUUCUGUCUUAUUCUUUUAUAGGGGUACUGCCAUUCACAAGUGAUAAUGACAUCAAUACAUCAGUCAUCGGAGGAGAGGUAACACGUUUUCUACAAGGUGUGGUAGAUUGGGAUGGCGGCCGAGAUGAAGGGAGCAUCUAGCAGCCAAAUAAUUAUUCACAUGUCAUAUGUACCCCUAUGCAGUGUACCUUCUUUGUUCUCUCACCUUUUCGCUCGUGCGCUCUCUUCCACAGAGUAACAGCGAAGGUUAACACAGUAGGAUCUGAAGGGCGUAUCACUGCGCUCCAAGAUCCUUUAAGGAGGAGGGUCAGCCUCCUUCUUAGAAACCGGAACCUCAGCUCUAGGCCGGGGAACCGGACCCACAGUGAUCCACGUUUUUUGUCACCCCCAAAAUACCAUAACCAACAACUAACCGAGCCUCGUGCUCUCCUUUUUCUCCCCAUAUUUAAACAUCAUUCUGAUAACAUUUAAUUCCAACUACGGUUGGCUUUUCGCGAAAUUGUAUUCCUGGACUUACAAUUCGGACCUUAUCUCUCCACUUAAACCAUACCGUGUUUUUUAAAAAAAUCGCACGGAAUACAUGGAGUUGUUUGGGGAAGGUGGCCCCUUGGAAGCCGUCUCGAACGACGUUGAGAGGGUCAUCACUGAAUCGUUUAAAGAUGUCGCUUUCUUACUAACACUAAAAGCGGAAAGCGCACAUAAAAUUGAGAAAAUUUUGCAACAUUUCACCAACACGCAAGUAAAAUUUGUCAGUGCUUCUGGUAA
This is a non-coding RNA of Ciona intestinalis (vase tunicate), 2272 nucleotides long. Lineage: Eukaryota; Metazoa; Chordata; Ascidiacea; Phlebobranchia; Cionidae. The record is from RefSeq and is a predicted model, not a curated record.